CCUACGGGAGGCUGCAGUGAGGAAUAUUGGUCAAUGGACGCAAGUCUGAACCAGCCAUGCCGCGUGCAGGAAGACGGCUCUAUGAGUUGUAAACUGCUUUUGUACGAGGGUAAACGCGGAUACGCGUAUCUGUCUGAAAGUAUCGUACGAAUAAGGAUCGGCUAACUCCGUGCCAGCAGCCGCGGUAAUACGGAGGAUUCAAGCGUUAUCCGGAUUUAUUGGGUUUAAAGGGUGCGUAGGCGGUCGGAUAAGUUAGAGGUGAAAUCCCGAGGCUCAACCUCGCUCCGCCGUUGAAACUGGCGUUCUUGAGUGGGCGAGAAGUAUGCGGAAUGCGUGGUGUAGCGGUGAAAUGCAUAGAUAUCACGCAGAACUCCGAUUGCGAAGGCAGCAUACCAGCGCCCAACUGACGCUGAAGCACGAAAGCGUGGGUAUCGAACAGGAUUAGAUACCCUUGUAGUC
RNAcentral lists this ribosomal RNA (459 nucleotides) under uncultured bacterium. Its description in RNAcentral is "partial 16S ribosomal RNA". It matches the Rfam family "Bacterial small subunit ribosomal RNA", at positions 338 to 795 of the family's 1533-position model. The record is from RNAcentral.